UCCUGCUCAAUGAAAUUUAAAUAGCUGCUAUAUAGUACUAAGGUAGCAUAAUCAUUUGUUUUUUAAUUAAAAUCUAGAAUGAAAGGUAAAACAUUUUAAUUUUUCUAUUUUUUAUAAAAAUUUAAAUUAUACUAAAUAUAAAAAUAUAUUUAUAAAAAAAAAAGACGAUAAGACCCUAUUAAAUUUUACUUAUUUUGUUUAACUGGGGCAGUUAAUUAAUAAAUAUUUUAAUUUAAUAUUUAUUUAAUCAAAUAUCUUUAAUUUUAAAAAUUAAUUAAAUUACUAUAGGGAUAACAGCAUAAUAAUUUUUUUUAGAUCUUAUUAAAAAAAUAAUUUAUGACCUCGAUGUUGAAUUAUUAUAUCUAUUUUAUGCAAAAAUAAAUAAUAGUAAGUCUGUUCGACUUUUAAAAUUUUACA
Molecule: ribosomal RNA, 417 nt
Filed under: Cerocida strigosa
Lineage: Eukaryota; Metazoa; Arthropoda; Arachnida; Araneae; Theridiidae
Description: partial 16S ribosomal RNA
Source: RNAcentral